This 440-nucleotide ribosomal RNA is filed under the name uncultured bacterium. RNAcentral's name for it is "partial 16S ribosomal RNA". It matches the Rfam family "Bacterial small subunit ribosomal RNA", at positions 338 to 795 of the family's 1533-position model. The record is from RNAcentral.
CCUACGGGUGGCAGCAGUAGGGAAUAUUGCUCAAUGGGGGAAACCCUGAAGCAGCAACGCCGCGUGGAGGAUGAAGGUUUUCGGAUUGUAAACUCCUUUUGUUAGAGAAGAGAAUGACGGUAUCUAACGAAUAAGCACCGGCGAACUCCGUGCCAGCAGCCGCGGUAAUACGGAGGGUGCAAGCGUUACUCGGAAUCACUGGGCGUAAAGGGCGCGUAGGCGGGAUAGCAAGUCAGAUGUGAAAUCCUAUGGCUUAACCAUAGAACUGCAUUUGAAACUGUUAUUCUAGAGUAUGUGAGAGGUAGGUGGAAUUCUUGGUGUAGAGGUGAAAUCCGUAGAGAUCAAGAGGAAUACUCAUUGCGAAGGCGACCUGCUAGAACAUAACUGACGCUGAUGCGCGAAAGCGUGGGGAGCAAACAGGAUUAGAUACCCCAGUAGUC